Molecule: ribosomal RNA, 528 nt
Filed under: Pseudomonas veronii
Lineage: Bacteria; Pseudomonadati; Pseudomonadota; Gammaproteobacteria; Pseudomonadales; Pseudomonadaceae
Description: bacterial SSU rRNA
Rfam family: Bacterial small subunit ribosomal RNA
Source: RNAcentral
CUUGCUUCUCUUGAGAGCGGCGGACGGGUGAGUAAUGCCUAGGAAUCUGCCUGGUAGUGGGGGAUAACGUUCGGAAACGGACGCUAAUACCGCAUACGUCCUACGGGAGAAAGCAGGGGACCUUCGGGCCUUGCGCUAUCAGAUGAGCCUAGGUCGGAUUAGCUAGUUGGUGAGGUAAUGGCUCACCAAGGCGACGAUCCGUAACUGGUCUGAGAGGAUGAUCAGUCACACUGGAACUGAGACACGGUCCAGACUCCUACGGGAGGCAGCAGUGGGGAAUAUUGGACAAUGGGCGAAAGCCUGAUCCAGCCAUGCCGCGUGUGUGAAGAAGGUCUUCGGAUUGUAAAGCACUUUAAGUUGGGAGGAAGGGCAGUUACCUAAUACGUAAUUGUUUUGACGUUACCGACAGAAUAAGCACCGGCUAACUCUGUGCCAGCAGCCGCGGUAAUACAGAGGGUGCAAGCGUUAAUCGGAAUUACUGGGCGUAAAGCGCGCGUAGGUGGUUAGUUAAGUUGGAUGUGAAAUCCC